Molecule: ribosomal RNA, 611 nt
Filed under: uncultured bacterium
Lineage: Bacteria
Description: bacterial SSU rRNA
Rfam family: Bacterial small subunit ribosomal RNA (bases 1-521)
Source: RNAcentral
CCUACGGGAGGCAGCAGUGGGGAAUAUUGCGCAAUGGGCGAAAGCCUGACGCAGCAACGCCGCGUGGGGGAUGAAGGCCUUCGGGUUGUAAACCUCUUUCAGCAGGGAAGAAGCGAAAGUGACGGUACCUGCAGAAGAAGCACCGGCUAACUACGUGCCAGCAGCCGCGGUAAUACGUAGUGUGCAAGCGUUGUCCGGAUUUAUUGGGCGUAAAGAGCUCGUAGGCGGUUAGUCACGUCGGAUGUGAAAUCCCGGAGCUUAACUCCGGGCCUGCAUUCGAUACGGGCUGACUCGAGUGUUGUAGGGGAGACUGGAACUCCUGGUGUAGCGGUGAAAUGCGCAGAUAUCAGGAAGAACACCGGUGGCGAAGGCGGGUCUCUGGGCAACUACUGACGCUGAGGAGCGAAAGCGUGGGGAGCAAACAGGAUUAGAUACCCUGGUAGUCCACGCCGUAAACGGUGGGCGCUAGGUGUGGGGAACAUUCCACGUCUCUGCGCCGCAGCUACGACAUAGCGCCCGCCGCGGGAGGUACGGCCGCGAGGACGUAAACCGUACUAAUAGUAAGUUAGACGGCGUUGAGACGUUGCCGACGGCGACGACGAGGGAGGAGG